GGUUAAGCGACUAAGCGUACACGGUGGAUGCCCUGGCAGUCAGAGGCGAUGAAGGACGUGCUAAUCUGCGAUAAGCGUCGGUAAGGUGAUAUGAACCGUUAUAACCGGCGAUUUCCGAAUGGGGAAACCCAGUGUGAUUCGUCACACUAUCAUUAACUGAAUCCAUAGGUUAAUGAGGCGAACCGGGGGAACUGAAACAUCUAAGUACCCCGAGGAAAAGAAAUCAACCGAGAUUCCCCCAGUAGCGGCGAGCGAACGGGGAGCAGCCCAGAGCCUGAAUCAGUGUGUGUGUUAGUGGAAGCGUCUGGAAAGGCGCGCGAUACAGGGUGACAGCCCCGUACACAAAAAUGCA
This 352-nucleotide ribosomal RNA is filed under the name Escherichia coli. RNAcentral's name for it is "partial 23S ribosomal RNA". It matches the Rfam family "Bacterial large subunit ribosomal RNA", at positions 1 to 389 of the family's 2925-position model. The record is from RNAcentral. Lineage: Bacteria; Pseudomonadati; Pseudomonadota; Gammaproteobacteria; Enterobacterales; Enterobacteriaceae.